GGGCUCAAUGGUAGAGAAUCUGCUUGGCGUGCAAAAGCUCACAGGUUCGAUCCCUGGCAUCCCCA
Molecule: transfer RNA, 65 nt
Filed under: Sphaerodactylus townsendi
Lineage: Eukaryota; Metazoa; Chordata; Lepidosauria; Squamata; Sphaerodactylidae
Description: tRNA-Ala
Source: RNAcentral